UACGUAGGGGGCAAGCGUUGUCCGGAAUUAUUGGGCGUAAAGCGCGCGCAGGCGGCCAGAUAAGUCCGCUGUGAAAUCUCGAGGCUCAACUUCGAGCUGUCGGUGGAAACUGUCUGGCUAGAGUCCGGAAGAGGAGAAUGGAAUUCCUGGUGUAGCGGUGAAAUGCGCAGAUAUCAGGAAGAACACCCGUGGCGAAGGCGGUUCUCUGGGACGGUACUGACGCUGAGACGCGAAAGCGUGGGGAGCGAACAGG
Molecule: ribosomal RNA, 253 nt
Filed under: uncultured bacterium
Lineage: Bacteria
Description: partial 16S ribosomal RNA
Rfam family: Bacterial small subunit ribosomal RNA
Source: RNAcentral